GACGAACGCUGGCGGCGUGCUUAACACAUGCAAGUCGAACGGAAAGGCCCUGCUUUUGUGGGGUGCUCGAGUGGCGAACGGGUGAGUAACACGUGGGUAACCUGCCCUUGACUUUGGGAUAACUUCAGGAAACUGGGGCUAAUACCGGAUAGGAGCUCCUGCUGCAUGGUGGGGGUUGGAAAGUUUCGGCGGUUGGGGAUGGACUCGCGGCUUAUCAGCUUGUUGGUGGGGUAGUGGCUUACCAAGGCUUUGACGGGUAGCCGGCCUGAGAGGGUGACCGGCCACAUUGGGACUGAGAUACGGCCCAGACUCCUACGGGAGGCAGCAGUGGGGAAUAUUGCACAAUGGGCGGAAGCCUGAUGCAGCAACGCCGCAUGCGGGAUGACGGCCUUCGGGUUGUAAACCGCUUUCGCCUGUGACGAAGCGUGAGUGACGGUAAUGGGUAAAGAAGCACCGGCUAACUACGUG
This 468-nucleotide ribosomal RNA is filed under the name uncultured bacterium. RNAcentral describes it as "partial 16S ribosomal RNA". It matches the Rfam family "Bacterial small subunit ribosomal RNA", at positions 28 to 507 of the family's 1533-position model. The record is from RNAcentral.